AUUCUGCCUCGGAGGUUCUCCA
Molecule: unclassified non-coding RNA, 22 nt
Filed under: Mus musculus (house mouse)
Lineage: Eukaryota; Metazoa; Chordata; Mammalia; Rodentia; Muridae
Description: oocyte_clustered_small_RNA9123
Source: RNAcentral